GUUGAAGGCCCGCCGCGCGCCCAUUGGUCGGCUGGCUUCAAGCCCCGGUUGGCUGGGCGGGCGGCGGAAUGGGGAGUGCUUAUUGGCCGAGGGGAGGGGCUCUGGGGUGGGGCUGGUGAGAGCGCGCCGCUGAUUGGGCCGGCCUGGUAAAGGCCUUCGGGCUCAGGCCGGCUGUGCGCGGGGAGGAUGGUGGGCGGAAGGAAGCUGCCGUAAUGGCGAGGUCCGCUGUCGGCGGGGCUCCGCGCUGAGCUGGACCGUGAAAACCACGUGGUUCACCUUCCGACGUGCGGAUUUGAAAACUGAAGCCCAGAGAGAGCGUGGAGCGUGUCCAAGGUCACACAGCCGAUCGCAGAAUCGGUUCAGGCGCGCCUAGUUGCCCUUGGAGCCCCUGUCAGGGGCCCUGUGCUGUUAACAAAGUUUCGCGGAGGCGCGUCCUUAGACCACUUAACAUAAUAAACCUUUAGUGUUAAGGCUUCAUUUACAAGAUGUGUAUAGAAUUGUAUAAAGAACGUGUGCGUUGACGAGCUGUAAGAACAUAACCUGCCAUCUCAGUAUCCGGAAGUCUGAACUACAGUCUGAGAUCUUCUUCCAAAAAAUAAAAAUAAAAAUGUUGCAUAUA
Mastomys coucha (southern multimammate mouse) is the source of this 619-nucleotide long non-coding RNA. RefSeq lists it as uncharacterized. The transcript is spliced from 2 exons. Lineage: Eukaryota; Metazoa; Chordata; Mammalia; Rodentia; Muridae. The record is from RefSeq and is a predicted model, not a curated record.